RNAcentral lists this ribosomal RNA (253 nucleotides) under uncultured bacterium. Its description in RNAcentral is "partial 16S ribosomal RNA". It matches the Rfam family "Bacterial small subunit ribosomal RNA", at positions 524 to 776 of the family's 1533-position model. The record is from RNAcentral.
UACGGAGGGGGCUAGCGUUGUUCGGAAUUACUGGGCGUAAAGCGCACGUAGGCGGCUUUGUAAGUUAGAGGUGAAAGCCCGGAGCUUAACUCCGGAACUGCCUUUAAGACUGCAUCGCUCGAAUCAUGGAGAGGUCAGUGGAAUUCCGAGUGUAGAGGUGAAAUUCGUAGAUAUUCGGAAGAACACCAGUGGCGAAGGCGACUGACUGGACAUGUAUUGACGCUGAGGUGCGAAAGCGUGGGGAGCAAACAGG